UCCAACACAGCAAACGGUUAGCAACUAACCGUGUCCCACAGAAGUAAAAUCACAAACACCUUAAGUACACACACAUAUAAGCCAAUAACCCAGGAACCCAUGUGCAUCCAACCAUCUUAACUGGGUGCAACACAACAAACAAUUAAAUAACUAACCAUGUUCCACAAAAGCAAAAUCACACAAUGCCUCAAAUGCUUCGAGCCCAUGUAUGACAUAGGAAAAUGCUAUAAAUACGGCCAAUUCAUUACACGGAAAGGGAACUAAUAUAAAGUUUACUUUUUUUCACGUUCAAUCGCAACCUGCUGCAUGAGCAGGCAAGAAAAGAAGUCGUAAAACCCACAUGCUCAUGUCUACGAUGUACCCAACAAUCAGAACUGGGUCCAACACAAGAAAACACAGAACAACAAACCAUAUCCCCAUAGAAGCAAAACCACAAACACCUCGAGUGCAUAAAAGACACAUAACCCAAAACCCCAGUUAAUUUUACCAAACAAUAACAAAGGCAGAGAGGUGAAUACAUACAAGUGGAGAGGGCUCAUCUGGAGGAGAUGGGAGUCAGGAGAAGGAAGAGAGGGAAGGAGGUCGGGUGAGAUGAAAACGGGCAGGCCCUUUCUGGUGGAAAGGAGGAGCGCCGGUGUCUCCAUUGGUUGUGGGCAGUUGGCCAACUGGAGUACCCCGACUCUUGCUCUUCCUUUGCUCCAUGCUGUCACUGCAAACUUCAUUUCGUGGAGGUCUGUUCCGUGUUGGAUAUUCAGGCUUGUCAAUAUCGAUGUAUCAGGUGCUGAGGACAUGAGCUGAGGUUUCCUUUCAACCUUCUAUAGACGAUUCAUAUGUUUGCGCUGCUUUCUAUAUGAUUGAUAACAUAAUUAUUUAAUGUUUUUUUCGAUUAAUUUAGAAUUAUAGUACAUGAUUUCCAUUAUGAUUAAUAGCCUUCUUUAUUUUUAGUUUAAAUCUUAAAGGGUAUAUUUGGUUAUUAGAAAAUUUAAAGGAAAAUACAAAUGAAAAAAAUUAGAGAAGAAAAAUAGAAGAAGAAAAAAAGUGAGAAAAUUAAAAAUAAAUUUAAAAUCAAUAAACUAUUUUUUGUAUACUACUUCAAACUUAUUUUACUUAUUUUAACGCAUCACUAUAAAUAUUAAAUAAUUUAAAAUGCAUAAAUUUUUUACUUGUUUUAAUUAUAUUUAAUUUUAUUUUUGUAUUUUUCAUAAAUAACUAAAUAUGAAAAAAUUAUUUUUUUUAUUUUUUUUUUCUUUCAUUAGUAUUUUCUAGGAAUCAAACCAAAUGUAACCAUUUUUUUUUUUUCAAAGACGCACCACAUGCAUAUAUAACCAUGGCUCACGAAGGUAGUUCUUGAAACUUAUAAAGAUUAUCCUAAGAUUUUGGAACAGAGGUAGUGAAAUUGAAAUGGAGUUUCUCUAUUUUGUAAAAUUAAGGUUAUGAUUUUUAAUGAUUUGUCUAAUUUUUUGUUUUUGUUGUUUAAGAAGCAUCGUGCUUGUCAUUUGCUACAUCCUCAUCUGGCAUUAGAUAAAAAAAUCAAAAGUAUUUUGUCGAAAGAAAGCUAUUGUCAAGGUUUGUCAAUCCCAGGGAAGUUGAGAUGGAUUUUUUUACACAUGUUCAACGAAAGGUUGCAAUUCCUUUGAGUUGUGAGUGCCUUAUUGAAGUCAGAUAGUUGAUGAUGAUGAUUCCUUUUCGUAGUUGGAAGAGAAGAUCAACCUCUAAAGUUCA
This 1722-nucleotide long non-coding RNA is filed under the name Vitis vinifera (wine grape). RNAcentral's name for it is "long non-coding RNA (VVIN_LNC007110)". Lineage: Eukaryota; Viridiplantae; Streptophyta; Magnoliopsida; Vitales; Vitaceae. The record is from RNAcentral.